This is a non-coding RNA of Pelobates cultripes (western spadefoot toad), 241 nucleotides long. NCBI's taxonomy places the organism in Eukaryota, Metazoa, Chordata, Amphibia, Anura, Pelobatidae. The record is from the annotation of a GenBank genome assembly.
CAGCAUCAAAGACAAACAAUCUCACUGAUAUACAUAAGGUCAUUGACAUAAAAACACAAGCUCACUCAGUAGCAGGCACACACACACACAAGCAAGCCCACUCACUAGCAGGCGUGCACACACACAGCUUAAUGUAGUGGCUCUGGUGUCUAUAGCCUGUCCCUGCAGGCUUUUCAAUGUAAACACUGACUUUUUAGUGUAGAGGCAGGGCCAGUCGAGGGGAGACCAGCACGACGUGGGG